UAGGGAAUCUUCCGCAAUGGACGAAAGUCUGACGGAGCAACGCCGCGUGAGUGAUGCAGGUUUUCGGAUCGUAAAGCUCUGUUGUUAGGGAAGAACAAGUGCCGUUCAAAUAGGGCGGCACCUUGACGGUACCUAACCAGAAAGCCACGGCUAACUACGUGCCAGCAGCCGCGGUAAUACGUAGGUGGCAAGCGUUGUCCGGAAUUAUUGGGCGUAAAGGGCUCGCAGGCGGUUUCUUAAGUCUGAUGUGAAAGCCCCCGGCUCAACCGGGGAGGGUCAUUGGAAACUGGGGAACUUGAGUGCAGAAGAGGAGAGUGGAAUUCCACGUGUAGCGGUGAAAUGCGUAGAGAUGUGGAGGAACACCAGUGGCGAAGGCGACUCUCUGGUCUGUAACUGACGCUGAGGAGCGAAAGCGUGGGGAGCGAACA
Molecule: ribosomal RNA, 428 nt
Filed under: uncultured bacterium
Lineage: Bacteria
Description: partial 16S ribosomal RNA
Rfam family: Bacterial small subunit ribosomal RNA
Source: RNAcentral